GACUGAACUGUCCUUUUUCGGUUAUCAUGGUACCGAUGCUGUAUAUAUGAAAGGUACAGUACUGUGAUAACUGAAGAAUGGUGGUGCCAUC
MicroRNA precursor from Vicugna pacos (alpaca), 91 nucleotides. The record is from Ensembl. NCBI's taxonomy places the organism in Eukaryota, Metazoa, Chordata, Mammalia, Artiodactyla, Camelidae.